GAGUUUGAUCCUGGCUCAGAACGAACGCUGGCGGCGUGCUUAACACAUGCAAGUCGAGCGUGAUCCGGAGCUUGCUCCGGUGAAAGUGGCGCACGGGUGAGUAACGCGUGGAUAAUCUGCCCUGGUAUCUGGGAUAACAUCUCGAAAGGGGUGCUAAUACCGGAUAAGCCUACGGGAUCCUCGGAUUCUGCAGGAAAAGGUGGCCUCUAUUUAUAAGCUACCGUAUCAGGAUGAGUCCGCGUACCAUUAGCUAGUUGGUGGGGUAAUGGCCCACCAAGGCUACGAUGGUUAGCUGGUCUGAGAGGAUGAUCAGCCACACUGGAACUGAGACACGGUCCAGACUCCUACGGGAGGCAGCAGUGGGGAAUUUUGCGCAAUGGGGGAAACCCUGACGCAGCAACGCCGCGUGAGUGAUGAAGGCUUUCGGGUCGUAAAGCUCUGUCAGAGGGGAAGAAAUGAGACUGGCUAAUAUCCAGUUUUCUUGACGGUACCCUCAAAGGAAGCACCGGCUAACUCCGUGCCAGCAGCCGCGGUAAUAC
Molecule: ribosomal RNA, 539 nt
Filed under: uncultured Geobacteraceae bacterium
Lineage: Bacteria; Pseudomonadati; Thermodesulfobacteriota; Desulfuromonadia; Geobacterales; Geobacteraceae
Description: bacterial SSU rRNA
Rfam family: Bacterial small subunit ribosomal RNA
Source: RNAcentral